This 422-nucleotide ribosomal RNA is filed under the name uncultured bacterium. RNAcentral describes it as "bacterial SSU rRNA". It matches the Rfam family "Bacterial small subunit ribosomal RNA", at positions 355 to 774 of the family's 1533-position model. The record is from RNAcentral.
UGAGGAAUAUUGGUCAAUGGGCGCAAGCCUGAACCAGCCAUGCCGCGUGCAGGAUGAAGCCUCUCUGGUUUGUAAACUGCUUUUGUAUGGGACGAAAAAACCUCUCGCUAGAUCAACUGACGGUACCGUAAGAAUAAGCACCGGCUAACUCCGUGCCAGCAGCCGCGGUAAUACGGAGGAUGCAAGCGUUAUCCGGAUUCACUGGGUUUAAAGGGUGCGUAGGCGGCUUUGUAAGUCAGUGGUGAAAUCCUCGAGCUUAACGGGAGAACUGCCAUUGAUACUGAAAAGCUUGAGUACAUAGGAAGUAAGUAGAAUGUGUAGUGUAGCGGUGAAAUGCUUAGAUAUUACAUGGAACACCAAUUGCGAAGGCAGGUUACUACUCAGUGACUGACGCUGAUGCACGAAAGCGUGGGGAGCGAACA